UGUUGGCAGACUCUGUUGCAGAGAUAGGGGGUGUCUACAUCAGCUGGACUGGUCGACUAGUUCACAUCCAUAGCAAGUCUAGGGUUCGCAGUCUACUUAGAACAGUCUGAAGUCAGCAACUGGUCUUCCAGAAGCAGAAACCUGUUUAAGACAUGUUUAAACUGGGAACAGACGUUAAAACUUAUUUACUGUAGCCCACAGUGCAGAAAAAGCAGAUAUCUGGAUAUCUGUUCAAACAGCAGGAACAUAUUUAUAACUUUGAGUCCUAGCAAAAAUACAGAUUUGGUCUAGAAGCA
Molecule: long non-coding RNA, 296 nt
Filed under: Cricetulus griseus (Chinese hamster)
Lineage: Eukaryota; Metazoa; Chordata; Mammalia; Rodentia; Cricetidae
Description: lncRNA (ENSCGRG00000025632.1)
Source: RNAcentral